Molecule: long non-coding RNA, 738 nt
Filed under: Populus tremula
Lineage: Eukaryota; Viridiplantae; Streptophyta; Magnoliopsida; Malpighiales; Salicaceae
Description: long non-coding RNA (PTRE_LNC000227)
Source: RNAcentral
CCCACAAACCCAUCACCUUCUCCGGCCGCCUUCCUUCUUCCCUGCUCACCGGCCACCCGGGCAAGCCACGGUCGCCGCAUCUUCCUCUCCCUCACCGGAUAAGCCAAGAGCAGCGUCUUCUUCUCCUCCGAUCUCAUCAGCAGCAGCCGGUCAACAAACAGGGCCCAUCACAGCGGCGGCUGAGCUCCCCCAGCACACCGAACCAGCCAUCGAUCUCCCCACAGCUGAAGAACACAGCGACGACAACAGCAGCGGCCGAACAGCCCCAGCGGCGACGCCCCCUUCUCAGUCGUUCCUCUUCAUGGCCACCUGAAACAGAGAAGGAAUCAGACCCGGAAUGAUGAAGAAGACCCAAAAGCAGAUCUGCAAACAAAAAAACAAAAAUAUAAAAUCGACUGCUUGUGUUCUUUUCUUUGUUUGCAGGUGACGGUGGUUGUCACCACCAGCAGAGAGGGAAAAGGGAAAGGAAGCGGAACCAGAUCUACCCGUUUCCUGUCUUUGUUCGCGGCGGCGCGUGAACCCACGCGCCGCCAGUGACGGUGGCGCGUGGGGGGAGACGCGCCGGAACUGUUCAUGCGGGUGCAGAAGUCCUUCCCUGCAAUUUCGGGAGUUUUGAGGGACCAUUUUGUAAAUUUUAAAGUUUUAAUGUAAUUUUUGUUUAUUUAUUUUAAAUUUGUAAUAUGUGAAUGUAAAAAAAAAAAAAAGGAAAAGAAAAGAAAAUAAUAAUAAAAAAGGGGA